UACGGAAGGCAGCAGUGGGGAAUAUUGCACAAUGGGCGAAAGCCUGAUGCAGCUAUGCCGCGUGUAUGAAGAAGGCCUUAGGGUUGUAAAGUACUUUCAUCGGGGAGGAAAAAACAAAACUAAUAAUUUUAUUUCUUGACGUUACCCGAAAAAGAAGCACCGGCUAACUCCGUGCCAGCAGCCGCGGUAAUACGGAGGGUGCUAGCGUUAAUCAGAAUUACUGGGCGUAAAGAGCACGUAGGUGGUUUUUUUAAAGUCAGAUGUGGAAUCCCUGGGCUUAACCUAGGAACUGCAUUUUGAAACUGAAAUACUAGAGUAUCGUAGAGGGAGGUAGAAUUCUAGGUGUAGCGGUGAAAUGCGUAGAUAUCUGGAGGAAUACCUGUGGCGAAAGCGGCCUCCUAAACGAAUACUGACACUGAGGUGCGAAAGCGUGGGGAGCAAACAGGGAUUAGAUACC
RNAcentral lists this ribosomal RNA (457 nucleotides) under uncultured bacterium. Its description in RNAcentral is "bacterial SSU rRNA". It matches the Rfam family "Bacterial small subunit ribosomal RNA", at positions 340 to 786 of the family's 1533-position model. The record is from RNAcentral.